This 708-nucleotide ribosomal RNA is filed under the name uncultured bacterium. RNAcentral describes it as "bacterial SSU rRNA". It matches the Rfam family "Bacterial small subunit ribosomal RNA", at positions 127 to 851 of the family's 1533-position model. The record is from RNAcentral.
UGCCUCAAAGAGGGGGACAACAGUUGGAAACGACUGCUAAUACCGCAUAAGCCCACGACCCGGCAUCGGGUAGAGGGAAAAGGAGCAAUCCGCUUUGAGAUGGCCUCGCGUCCGAUUAGCUAGUUGGUGAGGUAAUGGCCCACCAAGGCGACGAUCGGUAGCCGGACUGAGAGGUUGAACGGCCACAUUGGGACUGAGACACGGCCCAGACUCCUACGGGAGGCAGCAGUGGGGAAUAUUGCACAAUGGGGGAAACCCUGAUGCAGCGACGCCGCGUGGAGGAAGAAGGUCUUCGGAUUGUAAACUCCUGUUGUUGAGGAAGAUAAUGACGGUACUCAACAAGGAAGUGACGGCUAACUACGUGCCAGCAGCCGCGGUAAAACGUAGGUCACAAGCGUUGUCCGGAAUUACUGGGUGUAAAGGGAGCGCAGGCGGGAAGACAAGUUGGAAGUGAAAUCCAUGGGCUCAACCCAUGAACUGCUUUCAAAACUGUUUUUCUUGAGUAGUGUAGAGGUAGGCGGAAUUCCCGGUGUAGCGGUGGAAUGCGUAGAUAUCGGGAGGAACACCAGUGGCGAAGGCGGCCUACUGGGCACCAACUGACGCUGAGGCUCGAAAGUGUGGGUAGCAAACAGGAUUAGAUACCCUGGUAGUCCACACUGUAAACGAUGAUUACUAGGUGUUGGAGGAUUGACCCCUUCAGUGCCGCAG